AGCUAAUAGAUACCCAGGUAGUCCCAGCAGUAAACGGUGCGCGUUUGGUGUGAGCAGAUUCGACUCUGUUCGCGCCGGAGCUAACGCGUUAAACGCGCCGCCUGGGAAGUACGAUCGCAAGAUUAAAACUCAAAGAAAUUGACGGGGGCCCGCACAAGCGGUGGAGUAUGUGGCUUAAUUCGAUGCAACGCGAAGAACCUUACCUGGGUUUGACAUGCAUCUCUAAGGAGGUGAAAGCUUCCGAGGGUAGCAAUACCCGAUUUGCACAGGUGCUGCAUGGCUGUCGUCAGCUCGUGUCGUGAGAUGUUGGGUUAAGUCCCGCAACGAGCGCAACCCUUGUAUGCUGUUGCUAUGCUUACGCAUAGCUCUCUGCGUAGACUGCCCCGUGAAACGGGGAGGAAGGUGGGGAUGACGUCAAGUCAGCAUGGCCCUUACACCCAGGGCUGCACACGUACUACAAUGCUCAGUACAAUUAGAACCUGCCCCGCGAGGGUUGGGAAAUCAGCG
This 507-nucleotide ribosomal RNA is filed under the name uncultured bacterium. RNAcentral describes it as "bacterial SSU rRNA". It matches the Rfam family "Bacterial small subunit ribosomal RNA", at positions 767 to 1277 of the family's 1533-position model. The record is from RNAcentral.